GUUGGAACUGUCCUGGUGAGAUGUGACCUCCUGUUUGGGAACUGUAGUGCUUAAUUAUUUUGGAGAAGAAAUCUCACCACAUCCUUCUGCUGCGUGGCGGCUGAUGGCUGGAUAUGAUACCAGAGAGAAACUUGCGAAAAUGUUGAAACAGAGCAGAAAGGCAGAGGUGUCCUGCAUGAACCAGAGGAGAUGCAGAGGAGCAGGGUGGCCAGAAGAAAGGUGAGGGUUUGAAGAAAAUCAGGGUGGAGGGUUGCAGGGAAUGAAGGGAGGACACAGAUCCAGAUGCAAAGUG
This 292-nucleotide long non-coding RNA is filed under the name Numida meleagris (helmeted guineafowl). RNAcentral's name for it is "lncRNA (ENSNMEG00000019250.1)". Lineage: Eukaryota; Metazoa; Chordata; Aves; Galliformes; Numididae. The record is from RNAcentral.